This 28-nucleotide non-coding RNA is filed under the name Rattus norvegicus (Norway rat). The record is from RNAcentral. Lineage: Eukaryota; Metazoa; Chordata; Mammalia; Rodentia; Muridae.
UGUCCACAGUAGUCUGAAAUGCAAGUGC